UCUAUGCACAUUAUGCUUCAUAUUUAUCAUAUGUAAACUAAUUGCUGCUCAGUAUACUGAUGUCGCACAGAAAUUGCUUUUAACUGGCUGCCUUUAAAAACUGUAAAAAAGUGCCUUAUUUUACAUUUGCAGCAGUUUGUACGUGUUCAUUUAACCAGUGACAAUGUGCAGCUGACCAUAAAUACAAACUGUUGCACAGGAUUAACAAUCACCAAAUCUAACAAAUGACAGCAGCAGAAGUUUGAUGUUGUAUGUUGUUUCCUUGAGAUUUACUGUUGUACAAACAUGUUCCAGCCUUUACAAACAGUAUGAAAAGGAGAUUUUACUACUAAAAUGUUCUGGUCAUGUGUAUUCACUCCACUGACUUGAGAGUUCACAGAGAGGAAGGUUGUGUUUUACAUGUGUCAUGACUAUCAGACAUGUUAUUACUUUGUUUUUUUCAACUGCCAGUUUGUACAUUUGUUAUGUCAAAUACUACAUACUACUACAGUCGGCAAACAAAUUUAAACUAACCUUCGAACCAACCACAAACAACCGUUUGUCAGUACUGUGAGAACACUUGGUACCGCAAUUUUUUGUCGAACAGUGAGUCGAGUGACACUUUUUGAAUGUUGCCUUCAUUCUCAGGUCCAAAUGAGAAAAGUAACAUGUAAUGAAUUCAACCAUUAAAUCACAGAGAGAAGAGGCAGACGAUGAAGAUGUUUCCAGAAGACGCCUGGGCUCCCACUGUGAGUACACCAACAUCAGGAAGGGAAGGCUUCUGAUCUGAGUGAGCUGCAGUGACCUCCUUCAGACUGUGGCGAGAAGAAAUGAAGUUCUGCCCCCCCAGUCAGCUGUCCACGCACCGGAGGGUCCUGUUCACUCUUCACCGCAAACUAAACGCCGGGUGGGACGGACCCCACCCGACCCCCCCGUUGCUCCAUCGCACCGUGAGGUCCCCUUCGCCACUGGACGGCUCUUCACCCCAGUCUGCUGGCAGCUGCGGGACGCGAACCAGCUCCCGGAGGAGCUGCUUCUGACGUUGCAGCGCAACGCUUAUCCCACUACACUACCAGAGGCCGGGGCACUGGGAGAAGCUCACACACAGCCUUUCAACCAGCUAGUGGGCAAAGAUUCAAACUGGAACCAUCACAGAGAGAAGAGACAGACAUGAAGAUGUUGUCAGGUCUUCAGCUGCUGUCGUCUUCUCCUCCUGCACAGACAACAACACGCAUUGAUCACACAAACUCAUCUUGUGUGAAUUACCUGGAGGCCUGUGUCUCAAAGAUCUUCUUCAUUGUACAAAGACUCUGGACAAAGUGGAGACACCUGGAGGAAACAUACAAAGGAAAAUGAUCAAUACACUACUGCCUAUUCCUCAUCAACAGUUCAACAUUACAGCUGAAACUGAACAUUUAACUAAAUAUUUUUAUGCCUGACUAUAAAGUGACUUUUAUUUCUAUUACUUCUAAAAUUAGAUUACUUUUACCAUUACAUACUACUUCUACAUUUACAUUUAACUGUUUCAAACUACAUCUAGUAACAGAUUACUUUGACUUGUAUUUCACUUCUUAUUAUUUCAAACAGUGCAAUAUCAGUACUCAAAUCCAACUAUCACUCUGUACACAGUCUUGUAUAUAUAAUGCCCUUUUCUAUUGUUGUUGUUGUUGUUGAUUAUGUUACUCAAAUAAAUACUUCUAAAGAAUAUUUUGUUACUGUGACAUUUAGUGACUCCUUACUAUGCUGACAUUUUACAACAGUUUUGUGAUGCUUUACAGACAUUUUGGAUCACUGUUACUUCUGCAUUGCUUUUAUAUUACAAAUUACUUUUACUAUUACCUCUAAUAUUAGAUUGCUCUACCAUUCUACUGUUUUUCUUAUUACAUUUUACUUCUAAAUCUACUGAUUACUUUAACUAACUAAUGCUAAUCAGCUGAAACUGAACAUUUAACUAAAUAUUUUUAUUUUUAUUUAUAUUUUAAGUGACUUAUUUCUAUUUUGGAUUACUAUUACUUCUAAAAUUAGAUUACUUCUACCAUUACAUACUACUUCUACAUUUACAUUUAACUGUUUCAAACUACAUCUAGUAACAGAUUACUUUGACUUGUAUUUCACUUCUUAUUAUUUCAAACAGUGCAAUAUCAGUACUCAAAUCCAAUCUAUCACUGUGUACACAAUACUGUUCAUAUUGUUACAGCUUGUCUUGUGUGUAUAUAUAAUGCAUUUUUGUUGUUGUGACUGAUACAAGGAUUGUUACUCAAAUAAAUACUUCUAAAGAAUA
This is a long non-coding RNA of Lates calcarifer (barramundi perch), 2260 nucleotides long. RefSeq lists it as uncharacterized. The transcript is spliced from 9 exons. Lineage: Eukaryota; Metazoa; Chordata; Actinopteri; Centropomidae. The record is from RefSeq and is a predicted model, not a curated record.